This 82-nucleotide transfer RNA is filed under the name Pseudomonadota bacterium. Its description in RNAcentral is "tRNA-Leu". It matches the Rfam family "tRNA". From Rfam's summary of the family: Transfer RNA (tRNA) molecules are approximately 80 nucleotides in length. Their secondary structure includes four short double-helical elements and three loops (D, anti-codon, and T loops). Further hydrogen bonds mediate the characteristic L-shaped molecular structure. tRNAs have two regions of fundamental functional importance: the anti-codon, which is responsible for specific mRNA codon recognition, and the 3' end, to which the tRNAs corresponding amino acid is attached (by aminoacyl-tRNA synthetases). tRNAs cope with the degeneracy of the genetic code in two manners: having more than one tRNA (with a specific anti-codon) for a particular amino acid; and 'wobble' base-pairing, i.e. permitting non-standard base-pairing at the 3rd anti-codon position. The record is from RNAcentral. RNAcentral also lists the same sequence under 2 other names. Lineage: Bacteria; Pseudomonadati; Pseudomonadota.
GGGCCGGUGGCGGAAUGGCAGACGCGGGGGACUUAAAAUCCUCUGGGUGAUCCCCGUGCGGGUUCAAAUCCCGCCCGGCCCA